UACGGGGGGAGCAAACGUUGUUCGGAAUCACUGGGCGUAAAGCGCACGUAGGCGGCCUAGCAAGUAGGGAGUGAAAGCCCUCGGCUUAACCGAGGAAGUGCUUUCUAAACUACUAGGCUUGAAUACUGGAGAGGGUCGCGGAAUUCCCGGUGUAGAGGUGAAAUUCGUAGAUAUCGGGAGGAACACCAGUGGCGAAGGCGGCGACCUGGACAGAUAUUGACGCUGAGGUGCGAAAGCCAGGGGAGCAAACGGG
This 253-nucleotide ribosomal RNA is filed under the name uncultured bacterium. Its description in RNAcentral is "partial 16S ribosomal RNA". It matches the Rfam family "Bacterial small subunit ribosomal RNA", at positions 524 to 776 of the family's 1533-position model. The record is from RNAcentral.